UACGGAAGGGGCAAGCGUUGUUCGGAAUCAUUGGGCGUAAAGGGCGCGUAGGUGGUUCUGUAUGUCUACCGUGAAAGCAUACAGCUCAACUGUAUUUUGUCGGUAGAAACUGCAGGACUUGAGGCUGGGAGGGGCUGGUGGAAUUCCCUGUGUAGCGGUGAAAUGCGUAGAGAUGGGGGAGAACACUCGUGGCGAAGGCGGCCAGCUAGACCAGUUCUGACACUGAGGCGCGACAGCGUGGGGAGCAAACAGGAUUAGAACCUACCCGUAGUCAGAUCCAA
Molecule: ribosomal RNA, 281 nt
Filed under: uncultured bacterium
Lineage: Bacteria
Description: partial 16S ribosomal RNA
Rfam family: Bacterial small subunit ribosomal RNA
Source: RNAcentral